This 107-nucleotide small nuclear RNA is filed under the name Procavia capensis (Cape rock hyrax). Lineage: Eukaryota; Metazoa; Chordata; Mammalia; Hyracoidea; Procaviidae. The record is from RNAcentral.
GAGCUCAUUUUAGCAGCAUGUGUACUAACAUUGGGACGACAGAGAUAAGAUUAGCAGGGCCCCUGCACAAAGAUGACAUGCAAAUUAAUGAAGUGGUACACAUUUUU